CCUACGGGUGGCAGCAGUGGGGAAUAUUGCACAAUGGGGGGAACCCUGCUGCAGCGACGCCGCGUGAGCGAAGAAGUAUUUCGGUAUGUAAAGCUCUAUCAGCAGGGAAGAAAAUGACGGUACCUGACUAAGUAGCCACGGCUAACUACGUGCCAGCAGCCGUGGUAAUACGUAGGGGGCAAGCGUUAUCCGGAUUUACUGGGUGUAAAGGGAGCGUAGACGGAUGUGCAAGUAUGGAGUGAAAGGCAGUGGCUCAACCUGUGAACUGCUUUGGAAACUGUGCGGCUUGAGUGUCGGAGAGGCAAGGGGAAUUCCUAGUGUAGCGGUGAAAUGCGGAGAUAGUAGGAGGAACACCAGUGGCGAAGGCGGCUUGCUGGACGAUGACUGACGUUGAGGCUCGAAAGCGUGGGGAUCAAACAGGAUUAGAUACCCUUGUAGUC
This 440-nucleotide ribosomal RNA is filed under the name uncultured bacterium. RNAcentral's name for it is "partial 16S ribosomal RNA". It matches the Rfam family "Bacterial small subunit ribosomal RNA", at positions 338 to 795 of the family's 1533-position model. The record is from RNAcentral.